This 258-nucleotide long non-coding RNA is filed under the name Elaeis guineensis (African oil palm). RNAcentral describes it as "long non-coding RNA (EGUI_LNC000426)". The record is from RNAcentral. Lineage: Eukaryota; Viridiplantae; Streptophyta; Magnoliopsida; Arecales; Arecaceae.
GGAGAAAGGUUGAGGUUAGGCCCAUCCAAGCUUCCAAACGGCCUUAAUGGAAAAAAAUGACGUUGUUGACGUCGGUAGAGGGGCUGGGCUGAGCUUUUAUUCUGGCCCAAUUUCAUAAGACCCGUGUGAGGCUCAUCCACAUGGCAGUCUGCCCAAAUUCUUCACCAAGGGAAUCAUGUAUGAUACGUAUGAAAGCCAUGGAACCGAUGAGAUGAACUCCAUUACAAGGACAUGGCGUUGAACUGCAAUGGUGCCGGC